RNAcentral lists this long non-coding RNA (225 nucleotides) under Phoenix dactylifera (date palm). RNAcentral describes it as "long non-coding RNA (PDAC_LNC009350)". Lineage: Eukaryota; Viridiplantae; Streptophyta; Magnoliopsida; Arecales; Arecaceae. The record is from RNAcentral.
UGUUUUCCGGGUUCACAAUCAACCCAGUUGGUUUUCCCAAAGGCUCACCAACCACAACCUUACAAUGAUUGUUUUCCGGGUUCACAAUCAACCCAGUUGGUUUUCCCAAAGGCUCACCAACCACAACCUUACAACGUUGGUUUUUUUUCCUUUGGCUCACCAACAAACCUUAACCCCUUGAUUCAAUCCCUUGAUUGAAUCAAGUUACAAGAUAUUAGAACAAGA